RNAcentral lists this ribosomal RNA (475 nucleotides) under uncultured organism. RNAcentral's name for it is "partial 16S ribosomal RNA". It matches the Rfam family "Bacterial small subunit ribosomal RNA", at positions 334 to 800 of the family's 1533-position model. The record is from RNAcentral.
CACUCCUGCGGGAGGCAGCAGUGGGGAAUAUUGCACAAUGGGCGCAAGCCUGAUGCAGCCAUGCCGCGUGUAUGAAGAAGGCCUUCGGGUUGUAAAGUACUUUCAGCGGGGAGGAAGGCGAUAAGGUUAAUAACCUUGUCGAUUGACGUUACCCGCAGAAGAAGCACCGGCUAACUCCGUGCCAGCAGCCGCGGUAAUACGGAGGGUGCAAGCGUUAAUCGGAAUUACUGGGCGUAAAGCGCACGCAGGCGGUCUGUCAAGUCGGAUGUGAAAUCCCCGGGCUCAACCUGGGAACUGCAUUCGAAACUGGCAGGCUAGAGUCUUGUAGAGGGGGGUAGAAUUCCAGGUGUAGCGGUGAAAUGCGUAGAGAUCUGGAGGAAGACCGGUGGCGAAGGCGGCCCCCUGGACAAAGACUGACGCUCAGGUGCGAAAGCGUGGGGAGCAAACAGGAUUAGAAACCCUAGUAGUCCCAUGA